Molecule: non-coding RNA, 1761 nt
Organism: Elaeis guineensis (African oil palm)
Lineage: Eukaryota; Viridiplantae; Streptophyta; Magnoliopsida; Arecales; Arecaceae
Source: RefSeq, a predicted model, not a curated record
CCACGACAGAUCCCAUCCACAACCCGUCGCUCCACCCCCGCUCGCCUCCGGACUCUUUCGCAUUCCUCACUCUCCGUCUCGGUUCCAAUGGCGGAUCUCCACCCGCCGGAGGCUCCGGCGAACGGCGGCGGCCCGGUGGAAACCCUCGUCCCCUUCCCGGGCUCCAAGCGGCAGCGCCGCCCCAGCGUCCGCCUCGGCGAGAUCGGCGACCAACCCGCCGCCAUCCCCUACGAGCCCUACUUCCGCCGCACGAAGCACUGGAAGCUCCCCUCCGACGACCACAAGCCCCGCACUCACCUCCCGAAAGACCCCGCCAAGCACCCCUCCAGGACCCGCCCCCUCACCACACUCGCCCCCGACGGCGACGCCCUCGACGCCCUCCCGACCACCGACGACCACGUCCUCCUCCCCGUCGACGAGAACCUCGACCCCCUUGCUGCCGGGAUCCGGCGGGGGAGCCGCGACGGGAAGGCGUGGCGGGGCGGUGGAGUGAGGCGGGCGCGGUCGAGCUGGAUUCCGAAGGUCGACGAGGGCAACGAAGGUGCCGACUUGAAAUCGAGCGGCGGGGAGGACGCUGGCGAUGAGGGCUACAGGGAGGGUUCAGAGAGUCCUUUGGAUAUGAAUGAUAGGCGGGCGGCAGCUAGAGUUAGGGUUUCGGAGAGCCGGGAUGGUGGUCCUUUGGCUGAGGGAGAUUUGCCAUCGGAGACGGACAACAGGGAUUGGAACAAUCGGAACGGGUGGUGCCGGUCGGUCGAGGAUGGUGGAGUCCGAUCGUGGCUUAAUAGUCUGGGGCUGGGCCGGUACGCUCCAGUGUUUGAGAUCCAUGAGGUGGAUGAUGAGGUGCUGUCAAUGCUGACGCUGGAGGAUCUGAAGGACAUGGGGAUUAAUGCGGUUGGAUCGAGGAGGAAGAUGUACUGGGCUAUCCAGAAGCUCAAGAAGAAGGCCAUGUGAUUGUUGCGCGCAUAGAUGGUGUCCUUCAAGGAAAAAGGAUAUUUUGGCUGCCUGAAGUGGGUUUUUCUCUUGUGGAGAAAGCAGGGUCUUCAAUCUUUGAGAUUAUCAAGCACAGUGAUGAGGCUUCUAUGCCCUCUAGCACUAUGAAUAUCUUGUGUGCGGCUAAACUGACACCCAAAAUUCAUGUCUUAGAGGUGAUAUUAUGCAAGUGUUUCCAUUUUCUCAAGAGAGCAUAGAAAUAGGCAAAAUAGUAACCAUGUUUUAAGCAGCAGAUAUGAAGUACUUAUAGGAGCUAUGUGACAACUGUAUGCCUUUGAGAUAAAGGAAAUUAAAACAAAGAGCCAUGGUGUUGCGAUAAUCAGAGUGUUCACAGCAAGGAGCUAGCAUGGUAAACGAAAGCUUAUCUUCAAAGCUGGAAGUUAUAUUACGAAUGCAUGCUUGUGGAUCCAGUUCAGUUAGUUUUUUUUCUUUUUUAUCAUUCUUUUAUUCUGGGUGUGCUUUAGAGCCUCAGAAAUGUGAAUUUUGAGUGUAGCAGUAGAUUUCUCCAAUUCAGCUGCAGAUUUUUCAAGAAGAUUUAAUCUUGUAGCCAUAUCUGUUGCCUAGUAGAACAACCCAAGGGGGGAUGAAUUGGGUUUAUCAAAAUUUAAGCAAAUAAUAUGCAAUUUUAAAAAAUUAGUGAAGUAAUAAUGAGUGUAGAGAUACGAUAUGCAGAAAUAUAAAUGAAAAGAAAGUAAGAAAGAAGAACACAAUCACAAACACAAUCGAUGUAUGGUGGUUCGGUGCCCUUUGCACCUACAUCCAUUCCCCAAG